GCAAGUCGCACGGGAUCAUUUGAGUAGCAAUAUGAGGAUGGUCCAGUGGCGCACGGGUGAGUAACACGUGAAUGACAUGCCCUUCAGAGGGGGAUAGCCCAGGGAAACUUGGAUUAAUACCCCAUGGUAUCGCAAGAUUAAAGGCGGCCGCAAGGCUGUCGCUGGAGGAUUGGUUCGCGUUCUAUCAGCUUGUUGGCGGGGUAACGGCCCACCAAGGCUACGACGGAUACCUGGUCUGAGAGGACGAUCAGGCACACUGGAACUGAGACACGGUCCAGACACCUACGGGUGGCAGCAGUCGAGAAUAAUUCACAAUGGGGGCAACCCUGAUGGUGCAACGCCGCGUGGAGGAUGAAGGUCUUCGGAUUGUAAACUCCUGUCAUCCGGGAGCAAGACCUGACGGUGAAUAGCCGGCAGGGUUGAUAGUACCGGAAGAGGAAGGGACGGCUAACUUCGUGCCAGCAGCCGCGGUAAUACGAAGGUCCCGAGCGUUGUUCGGAAUCACUGGGCGUAAAGGGAGCGUAGGCGGCGUGGUAAGUCAGACGUGAAAUCCCGGGGCUCAACCCCGGAACUGCGUCCGAUACUGCCGUGCUAGAGGAUUGGAGAGGUAGCUGGAAUUCACGGUGUAGCAGUGAAAUGCGUGGAUAUCGUGAGGAACACUCGUGGCGAAAGCGAGCUACUGGACAACUCCUGACGCUGAGGCUCGAAGGCCAGGGUAGCGAAAGGGAUUAGAUACCCCUGUAGUCCUGGCAGUAAACGGUGUGCGCUUGGUGUGGCGGGAAUCGACCCCUGCCGUGCCGGAGCUAACGCGUUAAGCGCACCGCCUGGGAAGUACGGUCGCAAGACUAANACUCAAAGAAAUUGACGGGGACCCGCACAAGCGGUGGAGUAUGUGGCUUAAUUCGAUGCAUCGCGAAGAACCUUACAAGGCUUGACAUGCAUCUCUAAGCGCGUGAAAGCGCGU
RNAcentral lists this ribosomal RNA (964 nucleotides) under uncultured Verrucomicrobiaceae bacterium. RNAcentral describes it as "bacterial SSU rRNA". It matches the Rfam family "Bacterial small subunit ribosomal RNA", at positions 57 to 1012 of the family's 1533-position model. Lineage: Bacteria; Pseudomonadati; Verrucomicrobiota; Verrucomicrobiia; Verrucomicrobiales; Verrucomicrobiaceae. The record is from RNAcentral.